Molecule: ribosomal RNA, 909 nt
Filed under: uncultured bacterium
Lineage: Bacteria
Description: bacterial SSU rRNA
Rfam family: Bacterial small subunit ribosomal RNA
Source: RNAcentral
AGUCGACGAGAAGUUACCUUCGGGUAAUGGACAGUGGCGGACGGGUGAGUAAUGUGUAGAGAAUCUGCCCUUGAGCGGGGGACAACAGCUGGAAACGGUUGCUAAUACCCCAUAUGAUGCCGGUUGUGAUAUCGGUAUUGAAAACUCCGGUGCUCAAGGAUGAGUCUGCAUCUGAUUAGCUAGUUGGGGGUGUAAUGGACCACCAAGGCGACGAUCAGUAGCUGGUUUGAGAGGAUGAUCAGCCACAAUGGGACUGAGACACGGCCCAUACUCCUACGGGAGGCAGCAGUAGGGAAUUUUGCGCAAUGGGGGCAACCCUGACGCAGCAACGCCGCGUGAUUGAUUAAGCCCUUCGGGGUGUAAAGAUCUGUCAGUGGGGACGAAAUAUGACGGUACCCACAGAGGAAGCACCGGCUAACUCCGUGCCAGCAGCCGCGGUAAUACGGAGGGUGCAAGCGUUGUCCGGAAUCAUUGGGCGUAAAGAGUUCGUAGGUGGCAUGUAAAGUCUGGUGUUAAAGGCAGAAGCUCAACUUCUGUAGGGCACUGGAUACUUGCAAGCUGGAAUGCGGUAGAGGUAAAGGGAAUUCCUGGUGUAGCGGUGAAAUGCGUAGAUAUCAGGAGGAACAUCGGUGGCGUAAGCGCUUUACUGGGCCGUAAUUGACACUGAGGAACGAAAGCCGGGGUAGCAAAUGGGAUUAGAUACCCCAGUAGUCCCGGCCGUAAACGAUGGAUACUAGGUGUUGCGGGUAUCGACCCCUGCAGUGCCGCAGCUAACGCGUUAAGUAUCCCGCCUGGGGAGUACGCACGCAAGUGUGAAACUCAAAGGAAUUGACGGGGACCCGCACAAGCGGUGGAACAUGUGGUUUAAUUCGAAAGCACGCGAAGAACCCUUACAGGGCUUGACAUCUA